Long non-coding RNA from Pipra filicauda (Wire-tailed manakin), 1082 nucleotides. RefSeq lists it as uncharacterized. The transcript is spliced from 3 exons. NCBI's taxonomy places the organism in Eukaryota, Metazoa, Chordata, Aves, Passeriformes, Pipridae. The record is from RefSeq and is a predicted model, not a curated record.
AUAAACCCCUCCUCGGGUGCCUGGCGGCCGGUGCCGGUCCCGCCCCUCCGCGCCGCCCCUACCGAGCCUCCCGUAGGCGGCCCGCGUCCUGCUCCAGCGCAUCCAGCAGCAGGAAGGUGUCCUCGGCCGGCUCGUACACGUCGCGGAAGGGCCCCCGCGGGCCCAGAUUGUGUUUCCACCGUGAGAACUGCCGCAGGGAGUCAGCGUGAACACCGAAUGAAAGAGGCUCUUCGGGUACUGGAAGACCUCAAUUAGGUCACCCUGAAACCUUCUCUUUUCUAGGCUGAACAAUCCCGAUUCUCUCAGCCUUUCUUCAUAGGAGAGGUGCUCACUCCAGUCAUCCUGGUGUCCUCUUCUGGACUUGCUCCCACAUGUCGAUGUCCUUCCUGUGCUGGGGACCCCAGAGAUGGAUGCAGUACUCUAACAAAAAUGAGGCUCUGCAAAACUAAGAAUUGAGGGGAAAUUUCAGGGCACAGGUCAGACUAAUAAUUUUCUCUACACAACAAACCCCAAACAAAUUGUGAUCAAAAGCAGAAGAGAGAGGUGGACAAAUUCUAAUUCCCAUUAAAUGUCUGUGUUCAAUUAUUAAUGCAGUGAACACUUAAAUUCUGACAGUAAGAUGAAUGUCUAGGUCAAUGAAGGAAACAGGUGAUGUUAACAAACAAGUUAGAAUCUUAAAAUGUUAUUUUGAUAGCAAUUUUGAGUAACAUGAGUUUUGGCAAAAGAAGGAAAAAAAUGCACCUAAACAACUAACCCAGUGGAUUAAUCUUUGUUGACUUAUGUAUAUAAAUGUACUUAAAAUACAAGUAUGCAUGUGGCCUGGUUCCGGACAGGACAGGGUUAAUAUUUGCAGUAGCCAGGAGGGAACAUGGCUGGGACCUGCAGGUUAUUCUAUACCACUUCACCUCGUUUUCUGGGAACAGGGAAAACGCCUGCUUCCGGGUCGGGGUAGUGUGGCACGGUCAGUUAUGGUUGAAGGUUUCCACAAUAACAUUUCUUGUACAUUCUGUUAUUAGUAUUGUUGCUGUUACUGUUUGUUUUCUUGUCUCAUUGCUGUUUCCAAUAAAUUGUUCAUAUCUCAA